Molecule: ribosomal RNA, 220 nt
Filed under: Salmonella enterica subsp. enterica serovar Infantis
Lineage: Bacteria; Pseudomonadati; Pseudomonadota; Gammaproteobacteria; Enterobacterales; Enterobacteriaceae
Also listed under: 102 other names
Description: partial 16S ribosomal RNA
Rfam family: Bacterial small subunit ribosomal RNA
Source: RNAcentral
AAAUUGAAGAGUUUGAUCAUGGCUCAGAUUGAACGCUGGCGGCAGGCCUAACACAUGCAAGUCGAACGGUAACAGGAAGCAGCUUGCUGCUUUGCUGACGAGUGGCGGACGGGUGAGUAAUGUCUGGGAAACUGCCUGAUGGAGGGGGAUAACUACUGGAAACGGUGGCUAAUACCGCAUAACGUCGCAAGACCAAAGAGGGGGACCUUCGGGCCUCUUG